RNAcentral lists this small nucleolar RNA (107 nucleotides) under Leersia perrieri. Its description in RNAcentral is "Plant small nucleolar RNA R71". It matches the Rfam family "Plant small nucleolar RNA R71". Rfam says of the family: R71 is a member of the C/D box family of snoRNAs containing the C (UGAUGA) and D (CUGA) box motifs. Lineage: Eukaryota; Viridiplantae; Streptophyta; Magnoliopsida; Poales; Poaceae. The record is from Rfam by way of RNAcentral.
AUCCCAUGAUGAGGACAGGAGGCAACGUACUCCUGCAGACGCUCCCAAGCUUCGGGUAUUGACUCAUCCUUUGCCUGCUGGAAGCUUGAAAUCCUUCCGCGAAGGGC